Molecule: long non-coding RNA, 1245 nt
Organism: Engraulis encrasicolus (European anchovy)
Lineage: Eukaryota; Metazoa; Chordata; Actinopteri; Clupeiformes; Engraulidae
Exons: 6
Source: RefSeq, a predicted model, not a curated record
AAUUUUCUGCUCUCAUUUUCAGAUGAAAAGUGCUACACAGUUCUCACACAUCUUCUGACUCCGAAGCCGCUGCAGUGUAAAAUCUGAGAUGUCUUUUCUGGUUGAUUUUGUGCAGAUUUCUGACAGCGACAGCGAUGGUGAGGGAAGCAGUGUACCGAACUCUCAGAUGACUCGGACCAGGUGACCAAACCCAUGCAAAGCACAAUGACUUUGCUGAGGCGUCCCGCCCCCCUCCCCCUCCACACCACUCAAGGCACGGCGGCGGCCCAACCGCAAACUAACGGAGAUUAACAUGAGGCUGGAUGCGCUUGGCUCCCUGCUGCGUCCAUCACCAGAGGGGCCGGGAUUGCUGCGGCAGCUAGCCAAUUAAAGGAGGAGGAUGAAGGAGAGGAGUCUGACGAUGCCGACAUCGCCAUCGUAUGCAGUCCACGCCCUCGCAGGAAAACCAGCCAAUGAAAACGCUUGCAGCAGCAUCAGCAGAACACACCGGCACGACUGACAGAGCUUCUGAAGCAUGCAGUGGAAGACCUGUCAGUCAAGCUAAAGGUCCCGCCCUCCAACCUGCUGCUGCUGCACGGAGAGGCGGAACUUAACACCUCACACACUAUUGGCCAGCUAGGACUCUGCAUCGCUGACAUCUUUGUCUGGAACCAACUUCACAUCCCUCUUCACUGCACUACUGACACUGAGAUGGAAUCCACAACCCAACCACUAGUGGUCUGCAUUGGGAACCUGAAGAGUCUGUCAUAACCGCCAGGAAUGACCGUGUGACCAUUCCCGUUGCAGACUGCCUGACUUGCACAAUUGACAAGCUGUUCAAGCUUUACUGGGUCUGCAACUUGUUAUAUCCUAUGUAAUGUUAAAAUAAAGUGUUACCAUCAUAUUUUAAAAAAAUAUAUGUUGUAAAACUGGACGAUUGUGAAAUGAUAUGAUGUGGCAGAUGUAAGACCCAUUGAUGUAAUGCAGAGUUUUCAUUCAGAUGAACUGUCUCUUAACCCAAGGUACAAUGUCUUUUCUUCCAAUAUGUUGGAUCCUACAGUAUUUCAUAAGAAAGUUUUCAAGAGUAUUUAACACUACUUCGAAUUUCAAGACUUUUGGGUUUUGUAAUACACCGGUAAUGUUGUUAAGAGAUGAUAGUGUACGAGUCAUAAUCAUCAAUACUUCAUGAAAUUCGCAGUGGUGUUAAUUAUUCUUGAAAAAGAUCACAUUUGUUAUCUCCCCCUCUUUAAUUGAAUGUAAACACAA